GGGGGCGUAUUUGGUUUCGACGGGGAUUGUCGAGAAUUUGGGAAGCGAGCGGCGGCCCCUGCACCGCCUAACAACGGGGAAAAAAAUAACUGACGAAGAUAAUUUCGCUUUCGCGGCCUAAGGCCGCGCAUCGGCCCUGAGCUGCCCACGGCGCAGGUCACCGGUGUCAUUAAUGUGGGGAACGAGCCUGUCUAAGCUUUGCAGCAGGUCCGUAAUCAUGAAGCUACCAAAAUCCUGACCCUGUCUGCGGGGGCUGGAUCGAGGGAAUUCCAAAACACAGACUGCGCUCGGAGAUGCUCAGGUUCCCGGAUCUUCGGACAGGGGUUCGACCCCCCUCGCCUCCACCA
This 347-nucleotide transfer-messenger RNA is filed under the name Candidatus Faecaligallichristensenella faecipullorum. It matches the Rfam family "transfer-messenger RNA". Rfam says of the family: Bacterial tmRNA, also known as 10Sa RNA or SsrA, is named for its dual tRNA and mRNA-like properties. Its role is to liberate the mRNA from a stalled ribosome. To accomplish this part of the tmRNA is used as a reading frame that ends in a translation stop signal. The record is from RNAcentral. Lineage: Bacteria; Bacillati; Bacillota; Clostridia.